UACGUAGGGCGCGAGCGUUAAUCGGAAUUACUGGGCGUAAAGCGUGCGCAGGCGGCUUUGCAAGACAGAUGUGACAUCCCCGGGCUCAACCUGGGAACUGCAUUUGUGACUGCAAGGCUAGAGUACGGCAGAGGGGGAUGGAAUUCCGCGUGUAGCAGUGAAAUGCGUAGAUAUGCGGAGGAACACCAAUGGCGAAGGCAAUCCCCUGGGCCUGUACUGACGCUCAUGCACGAAAGCGUGGGGAGCAAACAGG
This 253-nucleotide ribosomal RNA is filed under the name uncultured bacterium. RNAcentral describes it as "partial 16S ribosomal RNA". It matches the Rfam family "Bacterial small subunit ribosomal RNA", at positions 524 to 776 of the family's 1533-position model. The record is from RNAcentral.